This 253-nucleotide ribosomal RNA is filed under the name uncultured bacterium. Its description in RNAcentral is "partial 16S ribosomal RNA". It matches the Rfam family "Bacterial small subunit ribosomal RNA", at positions 524 to 776 of the family's 1533-position model. The record is from RNAcentral.
CACGUAGGGCGCAAGCGUUGUCCGGAAUUAUUGGGCGUAAAGAGCUCGUAGGCGGUCUGUUGCGUCUGCUGUGAAAACUCGGGGCUUAACCCCGAGCCUGCAGUGGAUACGGGCAGACUAGAGGUAGGUAGGGGAGAAUGGAAUUCCCGGUGUAGCGGUGAAAUGCGCAGAUAUCGGGAGGAACACCGGUGGCGAAGGCGGUUCUCUGGGCCGAUACUGACGCUGAGGAGCGAAAGCGUGGGGAGCGAACAGG